Molecule: long non-coding RNA, 1224 nt
Organism: Chelonia mydas (Green sea turtle)
Lineage: Eukaryota; Metazoa; Chordata; Testudines; Cheloniidae
Exons: 5
Source: RefSeq, a predicted model, not a curated record
GUCUGUGUGAUGUUUUUGCCGAGGACAGAACAGGAAUGGAGUCUUAGAACUUAAUAAUUUGGAGAUAAAAUGACUGCAAUCAACUGCAGUUCCUGUUUUCUGGGAAAAGAGUAGGCUAGAGUUUUGAAAACAUUUGUAAAGUCAGUAGCAUCCAGGAACCCCAAUCAAGCACCAGGGACCCAUUGUGCUAGCCACUGUACAGGCAAGUCACAAAAGACAGCGCUUGCACUAAAGAACUUGCAGUAUAGGUGUCGGACCAUAGCUAGCAGGUAGAUGAGACUUACACAAUGUGAGGGGGCAGGAGAACAAAUCUCAGCUUGCCACUUGUCUACCAUACAUCAGACUGCACUGAUCAGCAUCACUCAUUAUUGCAGUAUCUGACUGCAGGAGUUGUCCACCUAUGAAGACAUAGGGAGCUAUUUCAAUGGAGCUCAACUCUGAAAAUGUGCUUUUCUUGCAAAAAUGCAGAUAGCAUGUAAGAGGUACUUUGUUGCUGCAGUUGUAUUCUCCUCCACAGGUUGGCAAUUACAGGGGAGACGAUCCAAGAACAAUGUGAAUGACGGAAUAGCCAGUUAAUAGGAGAAAAUGGGCACACCUCUUUUCAGAGCUAAUGAGCACGACAGAUUUAGUAAAAUGGAGGUCAUAUUUCACCUCCUCAAUUCUUUUCCUGCUUGACUCAUGCUUCGAGCACUACAAUUUCUCUCCACAUAUGCACAGAGGUUCUGCAAAUAAUCCUGCCCAGAAUGCCCUCAAGCCUAAGAAAGUGAGACAGGCUCGAAAGACAAACAACCCGGGGAAAAAAAAGGGAGCUGAGAGAUGAACACAUAACAUGACUGGGCCCUGAAUCAUAGUUGCUGAGUUCCGCAGCAUACCAUUAUAUCCUGAGCUCCUCAAAUACCAUUACUCACAGAACAAGCAAAUCAUGUGAGCUUUUGUUAUGAAAUCAGGGGGAAAUGUCCCCUUCCCCUACUUUAAUCCCCUUUGCCCAAAUCUGCCCCCUAUCCUUCAGUUCCCCUCCCUGAUAUGCUUCCCACAAUACCUCCUUUCUUUCUGUUGUGGUCUCCCCCACUCUUUUCUUCCCAACUCAUUUGUCACUGAUAUUACUCUCUCCCUCACUCUGACUGGUCCACCUACAGGACAUUGCAGACUACCACUUCCUCUUUCUCUCUCACGGAUCCUUUUUUUUUUCCUGACAGCUUGCUGCAGGAGCAGGGAAAGAGGUAA